This is a long non-coding RNA of Triticum aestivum (bread wheat), 734 nucleotides long. RefSeq lists it as uncharacterized. NCBI's taxonomy places the organism in Eukaryota, Viridiplantae, Streptophyta, Magnoliopsida, Poales, Poaceae. The record is from RefSeq and is a predicted model, not a curated record. The transcript is spliced from 3 exons.
UCCUCUAUCUCUAUACCCCCUCUCUCCGCCCCACCCCUCUCUCUCUCCCGCUCGUCUCUCCCUCGCGUGAGCAGCUACAGCUGCCGAUUCCGGCGAGCUCCGGUGGGAUUCGACGGCGCCCAGCACACCCACGUGACCCCCUCCCCCCGCUCCUCCAUCUCCUCCGACCAGAUCCGACGCGCGCGUGGGAUCAGAUGUUGCUAGUGGUAGUUCGGGGCGUGCGGGCGGACCAGAUCGACCUCAAGACCCUCGACGAGCAGCUCGACCGCCACCUCGCGCGCGCCAGGACUGGGAGGCCGACCCCGCUAGGCUCGUCGUCCGAGGCUUCGUCGCGCGCGGCACCUUCGACACCGUCCACCGCGGCAUCUUCGACGGCCUCGACGUCGCAGGUUUCUUCGUCAUGAUCUGGAUUGCCGCAGUCAUGUUCAAGUCCAAUGAUAUCUUGCGCAAGCAGACCGCUCUCAAGAUACAACGGUCCUGCAUGCUGCUAUGGUGGUCAAGUGUGUGCUGCCUAGGAAAAUAGAUAUUUAGUUUUAGGUCAUUUCUUGUAUUUCAGAUAUGGAGUGCUUGUCUUUAGUUUUUGUUUUUACUUCGUGAAACUUGUUACCUAUGGAUGAAACUGUGUAAUAUUGGUGAAACCAUGUAUAUGUAUUGAUGAAACUUGCUACUAUUGGUAACAUGUGUUGGAUAUCCUAUAUUGGUCAUAUAUAUAUGUGUGUGUAAUAUUGGUGAAA